Molecule: ribosomal RNA, 387 nt
Filed under: Triticum aestivum (bread wheat)
Lineage: Eukaryota; Viridiplantae; Streptophyta; Magnoliopsida; Poales; Poaceae
Description: partial small subunit ribosomal RNA
Source: RNAcentral
AAUGGUGUUCCCUCUGUCUCACGCUCACUGAACGCUACCGAUGUGAAGAGAUUCAAGCAACUCGAUUCUCAAGCGAAGAAUAUCAUAUGUGGCCAUCUGAGCAAAGGACAGUAUGGAAGAGUGAGUGCUUUGGAAACUGCUAAGCUUAUUUGGGAUAGGCUGUCCAAAGUGAAUGAAGGAGUCUCAACUCAGCGUGACUCUCGAGUUGAUGUUCUUUGCAAUCUCUUCAACCGCUUCAAAAGACUCGACAAUGAAAAUGUUCAACAAACCUUCGAUCGCCUCACUGACAUCUCAAGUGAGCUUCAAGCGCUUGGUGCCACUGACAUCACCGACCAUGAGGUGGUGAAGAAAUUGUUGAGGUCGCUUGAUUCCUCAUUUGAUACUCUG